AUAGGUAUACAAAUUCAUAUCUU
Molecule: small nuclear RNA, 23 nt
Filed under: Arabidopsis thaliana (thale cress)
Lineage: Eukaryota; Viridiplantae; Streptophyta; Magnoliopsida; Brassicales; Brassicaceae
Description: snRNA_11557
Source: RNAcentral